This 238-nucleotide ribosomal RNA is filed under the name uncultured Diversispora. Its description in RNAcentral is "partial 18S ribosomal RNA". The stretch from base 48 to 238 matches the Rfam family "Eukaryotic small subunit ribosomal RNA", at positions 693 to 884 of the family's 1831-position model. Lineage: Eukaryota; Fungi; Glomeromycota; Glomeromycetes; Diversisporales; Diversisporaceae. The record is from RNAcentral.
GAAUUUGCCCAUUGGUCAGGCUUAACUGUCUGAACUGGUGUGACGAGUUCCUACCUUCUGAGGAAUCUUCAUGCCAUUCAUUUGGUGCGGGGGGAAAUCAGGACUGUUACUUUGAAGAAAUUAGAGUGUUUAAAGCAGGCAUUUUUGCUUGAAUACAUUAGCAUGGAAUAAUAAAAUAGGACUUGGGUUCUAUUUUGUUGGUUUCUAGAGUCGCCGUAAUGAUUAAUAGGGAUAGUUG